AUGGGUCAUGUCUCCGACGCGUGGCAUUGGCAUGCCAGGCUAGGACACCAGCACUUCGACGGGUUGUGGAAGAUGGCGCGAGGCAACCUCGUUCACGGGCUGCCUCACAUCGAGCACGCUGACGAGCUGUGCAAUGCAUGUCUUGCCGGGAAGCAGCGGCGCCUGCCCUUUCCCGAGAAGGCAUGCUAUCGGGCGCAGAAACCCCUAGAGCUGGUUCAUGGGGACCUCUGCAGUCCAAUCACCCUGGCAAUGCCAGGAGGGCGUCGCUACAUCCUGCUGCUAGUCGACGACUACAACAGGUUCAUGUGGGUGCUGCUCCUCGCCUCCAAGGAUGAGGAGGAGCGAGCCAUUGUCAAGUAG
This 360-nucleotide ribosomal RNA is filed under the name Triticum aestivum (bread wheat). Its description in RNAcentral is "partial small subunit ribosomal RNA". The record is from RNAcentral. Lineage: Eukaryota; Viridiplantae; Streptophyta; Magnoliopsida; Poales; Poaceae.